CUUAACACUUGCAUUUCUGAACCACGUGUUUUCUUUUCUCUAUAGGUCACUUCUGUUCUGAUGGCCUUGCGGUCCCUCCGUGCCCAGCAGGGAGUUUCAAGCCCAAGGAGGGACUUCACACACCCAGCAGAAGCUCCUCAUGCUUGCGAGGAAUUGGAUUGUGUUGGAAGAAAUACAUGCUGGGUAUUUUUGUCCUGCUGGAGCAAGUUACCCGGUGCCGUGCCAGCCAGGUACAUACAAUCCUCUCCAAGGACCGGAUGAAGCCGCCGAUUGCCGAGCCUGCCCAGCAGGGAGAGCUUGUACUCAGACUGGUUCUGAGCAUAUUUGCUGGUGCUACAGUCACGUCUAUGGCUGGUGGCCAUAGUGCUGGGGAUUGGAGUUUGGACUCCAGGGUUCUCAUCUCAGCUAAGGAGACUGUGCUGAGGGAUUCUGGUGCCCGAGUAAGAAACCCCCAAGAUGGGAGAAUCAGGACUUCCUUGUCCUCCUGGUCAUUAUUGUCCUGAAGGUGCUCUGCUUCUGUUGCAGUGCCCUCCUGGCACGUGGUCUGGCAGUGAAGGUAGAAGGAGUGUGCAGGAAUGCCAGCCGUGUCCUGGGGGGUAUUACUGCAACAGCUCUGGGCAGAGGGCACCCUCAGGACACUGCAGCCCAGGGUAAGUAGGAGAACAUCACACUUAUGUACUCUGU
This 684-nucleotide long non-coding RNA is filed under the name Calidris pugnax (ruff). RNAcentral describes it as "lncRNA (ENSCPUG00000019391.1)". The record is from RNAcentral. Lineage: Eukaryota; Metazoa; Chordata; Aves; Charadriiformes; Scolopacidae.